Molecule: non-coding RNA, 255 nt
Organism: Pelobates cultripes (western spadefoot toad)
Lineage: Eukaryota; Metazoa; Chordata; Amphibia; Anura; Pelobatidae
Source: the annotation of a GenBank genome assembly
GCUAAAGUACUUUUGGGGGUUUGAAGCUUGCUUCACACCUAACCCCACCUCCCGGAAGUAGCUGAUCGAGAACAGAGCUGAUACAGGAAUUUGCAGUAACGUCUGUGCUGGCCGACAACUGUAUCCACUCAGCAGCAAGACGGCUCUUCACUACCAGGACCAGGUUGACUUUGGAAGAUUUGUUUUUAUUGUGUUAUAAUAAAGGCUGUUCAUCUUUCCACUGGCUGGAGUGAAGGCCUACUUUCUAAGGCUGUU